GCCCCUGUAGCUCAACUGGCAGAGCACCUGAUUUGUAAUCAGGGGGUUGCGGGUUCAAGUCCUGCCGGGGGCACCA
RNAcentral lists this transfer RNA (76 nucleotides) under Roseospira goensis. Its description in RNAcentral is "tRNA-Thr". It matches the Rfam family "tRNA". From Rfam's summary of the family: Transfer RNA (tRNA) molecules are approximately 80 nucleotides in length. Their secondary structure includes four short double-helical elements and three loops (D, anti-codon, and T loops). Further hydrogen bonds mediate the characteristic L-shaped molecular structure. tRNAs have two regions of fundamental functional importance: the anti-codon, which is responsible for specific mRNA codon recognition, and the 3' end, to which the tRNAs corresponding amino acid is attached (by aminoacyl-tRNA synthetases). tRNAs cope with the degeneracy of the genetic code in two manners: having more than one tRNA (with a specific anti-codon) for a particular amino acid; and 'wobble' base-pairing, i.e. permitting non-standard base-pairing at the 3rd anti-codon position. The record is from RNAcentral. Lineage: Bacteria; Pseudomonadati; Pseudomonadota; Alphaproteobacteria; Rhodospirillales; Rhodospirillaceae.